GACAGAGGGGGCAAGCGUUGCUCGGAAUUACUGGGCGUAAAGGGCGCGUAGGCGGCGCGACAAGUCACUUGUGAAAUCUCUGAGCUUAACUCAGAACGGCCAAGUGAAACUGUUGUGCUAGAGUGCAGAAGGGGCAAUCGGAAUUCUUGGUGUAGCGGUGAAAUGCGUAGAUAUCAAGAGGAACACCUGAGGUGAAGACGGGUUGCUGGGCUGACACUGACGCUGAAGCGCGAAAGCCAGGGGAGCAAACGGG
RNAcentral lists this ribosomal RNA (253 nucleotides) under uncultured bacterium. Its description in RNAcentral is "partial 16S ribosomal RNA". It matches the Rfam family "Bacterial small subunit ribosomal RNA", at positions 524 to 776 of the family's 1533-position model. The record is from RNAcentral.